UACGUAGGUGGCAAGCGUUGCCCGGAUUUAUUGGGUUUAAAGGGUGCGUAGGCGGCUUUGUAAGUCAGUGGUGAAAUAUGGCAGCUCAACUGUCAAGGUGCCAUUGAUACUGCGGAGCUUGAGUACAGAUGAGGUAGGCGGAAUUGACGGUGUAGCGGUGAAAUGCUUAGAUAUCGUCAAGAACACCUAUAGCGAAGGCAGCUUACUAGGCUGUAACUGACGCUGAGGCACGAAAGUGUGGGGAUCAAACAGG
This 253-nucleotide ribosomal RNA is filed under the name uncultured bacterium. RNAcentral's name for it is "partial 16S ribosomal RNA". It matches the Rfam family "Bacterial small subunit ribosomal RNA", at positions 524 to 776 of the family's 1533-position model. The record is from RNAcentral.